UGGAUCCGACCUGCUGCAUGAACCUGCUGAAAAAUCACUUCUUUAUAAUCAUGUUUUAAUCGAAUUGAAUAAUUAUGCAUACUAAAUAUGUUGUCUUUUAUUUCAAAUUAACCUCUUUUAUGUAGCUAUAACCGGGGCUAGUUGUCACAUGGAUCUCCAUGCACCGGAUCGCUCAGCCUGUGGAUUACGGAGCGGAGAGAGGACAUGGGCUGUGAGUUUGACCGUCGCUCCCCUGGGUUCCACAGCCAGCCCCUCCCUGCCAUCAAAGACCACAAGCCACUGGAUGAAAAGAAAAUAGAGGAGGGGCUGAAGACGCCAUGAGGACAAAGAGAUUGUGAUAUUACAAGAAGAGACCAAAUGACAUGCGAAAAACAGAGUCGAAUGCCUUGUAAAUGAAAUGUGAAGCCACAUGGGAGCUCCACUCACACAAUCUCGGCUCCUGACUGCAUAUACGAUGGUUUAGAGAGCGCGUGGGAGGGCUCAAGUGAAUCCUCGCUGUGUGUGGGCCUUGUUCUCCUCCGUGAAACACUCACACACACUAAGUUAAAAAGCCCAAAUGAACCCAAUGAGCAUUUGUUGGCUAUUAUUAAUGGUGACUAAGAGCAGUUGUGGGCUGUCUAAUGCAAUGAAUGACACACACACACACAUGUGGUGCACAGUGCCAAACGCCUGUUGAGGAACUUGACAAGUGUGUUUUAAAGUCAACAUGACAUCAAAAUUGACUAAAUUGAAUUUACUUUCUCAAAACACAUCAAAGUUCUUAUUAAGUAUGAUUCAGCAGUAAUUUUGUUAUAAAUAAAAAAUAAAAUGCUUUUUCUUACACUUGCGCCGCCUCUGAAACAAAUGUCCUUCUUAACUGAUGUUUUCAAUGCCAUGGACCC
Molecule: long non-coding RNA, 881 nt
Organism: Cyprinus carpio (common carp)
Lineage: Eukaryota; Metazoa; Chordata; Actinopteri; Cypriniformes; Cyprinidae
Exons: 3
Source: RefSeq, a predicted model, not a curated record